GUUGAUAUUAGCAAUAGUGAUAGCAUGCGUGCAAUGAAUAAUGUAGUCCAUAGACGUUGGUCGGAUGAAAUGGAUGACUAUCCUGUUUGGUAGAUGCAUAGAUGUCCUGUGUUGCUAGAGCCUUUGAUUAGGUCUCUUUUUGUUUAACGAUCUCUUUUCGAGUUUUGUACCCUUAGUCUGCAUUCUUGUGCUUUCAUGGAUUUUAUUUUUCUUUUUCUUUUAUAUUAAAC
Molecule: long non-coding RNA, 230 nt
Filed under: Salvia miltiorrhiza (redroot sage)
Lineage: Eukaryota; Viridiplantae; Streptophyta; Magnoliopsida; Lamiales; Lamiaceae
Description: long non-coding RNA (SMIL_LNC000975)
Source: RNAcentral